This is a long non-coding RNA of Lathyrus oleraceus (garden pea), 733 nucleotides long. RefSeq lists it as uncharacterized. The transcript is spliced from 2 exons. Lineage: Eukaryota; Viridiplantae; Streptophyta; Magnoliopsida; Fabales; Fabaceae. The record is from RefSeq and is a predicted model, not a curated record.
AAGGCCCAAGAAUCUCAACAACAGAUUCCCUCGAACAGCUCCAAAUCGGGUUCCAUGCUCUCAAUUGAAAAACGUCCCGCUCCAACAUGAUUUGUAGGUCAGCCAGUGCAACCAAACGGCGCCGCCGCUCUUACUCCAUGGCGUAAGGAUCUCGACCAUGAAUCACGAACAACGUCCCUGAAUCCGCGCCCCACUUUGUCGUCGUAAUCCAAUCCCGAAUCAUAGCUUUAUGCGAAUAAUAAAUCAAUGGAAGAGCGAGGACCUACCGUGUAUUGCGUUGUCGUUGAAGAUGAAGACGACCUUUUCGGAUUCGUGUCUUGCUUCGAUUUUUCCAGGUUGGUUUAUUGGCUUUGAAGUGUAUGAUGGAUGCUUGCUUGAAUUCAAUGGCUAAUGCAAAGCUUUGAAUGGGCUUCGGGAUGGCUUGCAUUGGUUAUGAAGCUUGUUGGAAUUGGCUAAGGGUCAAUGUUAUCAUGGAGCUGAUUAUGGAUUUAGAGACUAUGGCUUGAGCAAUUGGAGUGCAUUGCUUGGAAUGCAUCAUUGGUUUUUAUGGUCAUGUUGUAAUUUUAAAUGUUAAUUUGCAAUUGAACUAUGUAAAUUUGGAAUGUAUGGUUGAUGUAAGUAUGUGAAUUGGUUUGGGAAGUGAACUGUAAUAGUUUGAAUGGAAAGCGAUUAGUUUAUGUAAAUGAUUUUAUGCUUGUAAUGAAGAAUGUAAUGCAAUGCUUAUGUGAUGUAA